UGAUACCGAGGUGACACAAAGUCCUGGAGUCCAAGAAUGUCCCAGCCCCAUGACAGGACAAGAUGUUAAUCAUGUAGGAAAUAACCCUUGCUCAGUAUUCCAAAGGCAGGCAGAAAAACCAAGAUCUCUGCCAAAACAUUCUAGGAAAUGGAUUCCUGACCCCAUAUUUGGCAGUCAAUUUAGCCCUGUUCAUGUGAGCAAAAAUUACUGGGACUGAUGUUCAACUGAUAUACAUCAGUUCAGUUCCAUUACUUCCAUGCUUCAGCUGGAGAUCUGGCCCAGAGUCUCCAAGCACCUAAUUAUUAUUUAUUUGUACAUUCAUAGUACCUAGGAGCCCACGUCACGGACCAGGACCUCACUCUACAAACAGAACAAUAUGACAGUCCCUACCCCACAAGAGACAACAGGCAGGAGUAUACAAAUGCUGACGUUCGCCAGAAUUGCAACAGCGUGUUUGGAAGGACGCUCCUCGAGCUUUGUUUUGCCUCAAGGGCAACUUGAUGCAGUUUAGCUUACAACAGAUGUUUCUAGCAUAAAAAAGAGCACUGAACUGCCUGGUUCUACAGAGCAGUAAAGCAGAAACUCGGUUUUACAGUCUAGUGCAAGAGAUGCUUCAUGUAAGAAAACUUUUACUGGUCUCCAAAUUUAUGAAGGGUAGACAACUUUAUCACAGUUGCUAAAACAAGAGCUGGCAGU
Dermochelys coriacea (leatherback sea turtle) is the source of this 696-nucleotide long non-coding RNA. RefSeq lists it as uncharacterized. The transcript is spliced from 3 exons. Lineage: Eukaryota; Metazoa; Chordata; Testudines; Dermochelyidae. The record is from RefSeq and is a predicted model, not a curated record.